AAGGCAAAAAAGGACUAUUGCGAAGUAAAGGGUGGGGUCAAGAUUCGGGUGACGAAUAAAGGUCGAUGGCGGGAAAGGGAGGCGUGCAUGCGAGCAAUUGCCCGUCCCUUACUAUACACAGGUGCCGCCCAGAAUUUAAAAACCUCUUCUCUUCUGUUUAUGGCUUAUUAUUAUGGCCAGGAGGCGGAAGAAAUAGACUGAAUAUAAUAUGUCAUUGCCACACGAAGUGAACAAUUCGUUACGCGCCAAUGUCUCCGCGCUCUCGAAAGUUACUGCUCCCGACUUCUCUGAGUAGGGCGAGCAACGUGCCUGAAGGGAUGCUACCGCGCAUGCGUGUAGCUCAGUAGCACGCCCGCCGCGACGCCAUUUUCUGCGCCUUUUACCGCAGAGCUUUUGUGUUUCGUGAGGGCUUGUAUGGCUCAAGUGAGCAACGGAACUCGAACAAGCCCGUCAAUGGAGAAGGCCUCGGCUGCUUCCACCUGCUACUCGGGUCGUUGUUCAACUUCGUCCAAUGCGGACCUCCAGGGUCAUUACCAGUUCGGGUUGCAGCAGACCCCGGGUAGCGGCAUCCCUUCGUCUUCCUCGGGCGACGGGCCGGUUCGCCCUCAAAGAGGCAAAGGUCACAGCAGCGGCCUCACCCCGGCUUUCCUCCCACCCAGGGAGCUGGAAGAUUCAUAUUUUGGAGACAAGAGUUCAUAUACAGAAAAUAUUAGUGUGGUGAAUUUGACCAGUCCUCCUUCAAUCAGAGGUUUAAAUAUUGCUCGUGGACGAAAAACACCUCUCUCUUCUAGUAGAUCGGGAGGUAAAAACUGGACUCCUUUCAAGGGAUAUUCAGUUACAUCGUCUUCAGCAGUCUCCAUUCAUAAUGCUGCAUCUGUUAUUGUGGCUGUUAUAGAAGGGAGAGGUCUUGCCAGAGGUGAAGUAGGAAUGGCAAGUAUUGAUUUAAAAAAUCCAGAGGUUGUGCUGUCUCAGUUUGCAGACAACACAACAUAUGCUAAGGUUAUCACCAAACUCAGAAUUUUAACACCCUUAGAAAUAAUAAUGUCAAAUACUGCUUGUGAUUCAGGAAAUGCAACAAAACUGUUCAGCUUGAUAACAGAAAAUUUCAAGAAUGUGACUUUUACCACAGUCCAAAGAAAAUACUUCAAUGAAACUAAAGGCUUGGAAUAUAUUGAACAAUUAUGUACACCAGAAUUCAGCACAGUCCUAAUGGAAGUUCAGUCCAAGUAUUACUGUCUAGCAGCUGUUGCAGCCGUGCUGAAGUAUGUUGAGUUCAUUCAAAAUUCAGUUUAUGCUCCUAAGUCACUUAAGAUUCAUUUCCAUGGAAGUGAGCAAACAGCAAUGAUUGAUUCAACAUCAGCUCUAAAUCUUGAAUUAAUAACUAACAACAGAGAUCCUAGGAAUGGUCACACACUUUUUGGCGUUCUAAAUUAUACUAAAACUCCAGGGGGAAGCCGAAGACUUCGGUCUAAUAUUCUGGAGCCUCUGGUUGAUGCCAGUACCAUUAACACAAGAUUAGAUUCUGUUCAAGAGCUACUCCAAGAUGAGGAACGAUUUUUUGGUCUUCAGUCAGUUAUUUCAAGAUUUCUGGACACUGAACAAUUACUUUCAGUUUUAGUUCAAAUUCCAAAGCAGGAAAUGAUUAAUGCAUCUGAAUCGAAGAUAACAAAUCUAAUCUAUCUGAAGCAUACUCUGGAACUUGUGGAGCCUUUAAAGGAUGCUUUAAAAAACUAUACAACACCAUUGUUAAAGGCUUACUAUAGUUCUUUGGAAGAUGACAGGUUUGGAAUCAUACUUGAAAAAAUUAAAACUGUCAUUAAUGAUGAUGCAAGAUAUACAAAAGGGUGCUUGAAUAUGAGAACUCAAAAGUGCUAUGCAGUGAAGCCUAAUAUCAAUGAAUUUCUUGAUAUAGCAAGAAGAACAUAUACUGAAAUUGUGGAUGAUAUAGCAGGAAUGAUAACACAGCUUGCAGAAAAAUACAACCUUCCUUUGAAAACAAGUUUUAGCUCAGCUCGAGGAUUUUUCAUUCAGAUGAAUGCUGAUUGCGCACCAAUACACAAUGGUCAGCUGCCUUCAGAAUUUACAAAGAUUACUAAAAUGAAAAAUUUAUAUAGCUUUACUUCACCAGAUUUGAUGAAAAUGAAUGAAAGAUGUCAGGAGUCCCUGAGAGAAAUUUAUCACAUGACCUACUUGAUAGUUUGUAAACUACUGAGUGAAAUUUAUGAACAUAUUCACUGUCUGUACAAACUCUCUGACACUGUGUCUAUGCUAGAUAUGUUGCAGUCAUUUGCCAAUGCUUGCACACUUUCUGAUUAUGUGCGUCCAGAGUUUACUGACACAUUAGCAAUAAAACAAGGAUGGCAUCCUGUUCUUGAGAAGAUCUCUCUUGAGAAACCUGUUUCCAACAAUACUUACAUUACAGAGGGAAGUAAUUUUGUCAUAAUUACAGGACCAAAUAUGAGUGGAAAGUCAACCUACCUCAAACAGAUAGUCCUUUCUCAGAUUAUGGCACAAAUUGGAUCUUUUGUUCCAGCAGAAUAUUCUUCUUUCAGGAUAGCUGAGCAAAUAUUUACUAGAAUAGGUAUGGAUGAUGAUAUAGAAACAAAUUCAUCAACAUUCAUGAAGGAAAUGAAAGAGGUAACAUAUAUCAUACAAAAUGCUAAUGACAGAUCACUUAUCAUAAUUGAUGAACUUGGCAGAGGUACUAGUACUGAAGAAGGCAUUGGCAUAUGUUAUGCAGUCUGUGAAUAUCUUCUGAAUUUGAAGGCAUUUACAAUCUUUGCUACUCAUUUCUUGGAAUUAUGUCAGAUCAAUGUCUUAUAUCCCAAUGUUGAAAACAACCACUUUGAAGUGCAGCAUGUGAGAAGCAAUUCUGGAAUUAUGGAGAAAAUUGCUUAUACUUAUAUUAUUUCUAAAGGACACACAGAGGAAAAGAACUAUGGAUUAAAAGCUGCAGAGGUUUCUUCUCUUCCACCAUCGAUAAUAUUGGAUGCCAAGGAGAUCGUAACUCUUAUUGCUAGACAAAUAUUGGACUUUGAGGUCAGAAUGGGUAAAUCCAUUGUAUUUAACGUGAGCCAUCUGCAAAUCUGCUGAAUGCUUGUGAAUACAUCAGAUUUCCACAUCAUUACAAUGAAGAUGAGACCAUAAAGUCCUUGAAGGAAUUGCCUGAAGCAAAGGUCCGUGAAGUGACAAACACCUCUGAUCUCUGGAAGGCCUUUCAGGGCCCUGCAGAGAUAUUGCUGCUGGAAGGAAGAGCUGAAAAGCCCCAUGGGCACACAAAAUACAGUAUAGUGUAUGGUGCACAGAAUUUUGGGUCCUCGACAGACAGGAUAGGUGGAAAUGGUUGAGUGUGGUUGAUUGCUUCAUACUCUCUCACUGCCUAGACACUUUUAAAAACAAAGUUUCUGCAUCUGGAGCUGAGGCUGAGUAUCCCCAUUUCCCUCAAGCGGUAUUUCCCAUUACUUUUUUAAAAAAAGGCUUAAAAUUCUGUAGAUUUAAUGCUUCUCCAAAUGCUAUUUAAAAAUAAUCAUUUUAAAGUUUUUAUCAGCAUGGCAAUUCUAAUGAUCUAGAAGCACAUCUCAAACUAUAAAAUGUGUUAUUUCUCAUGUUGUACAGAAGUAUAAAAAUACUGCUAAGCACACUGCUGACAGAUCUUGAUAAGAGAAAUACUGGGAAGUUAUUUUUUUUUUGUUUUUUUUAAAGAAGAGCUUAUUUAGCUGUGCUUCAGUGCAUACAGAAAAUUACAGGCUAUUUUUAAAUAUACAUUUCAUACGUUCCAGCUUAUGAAACAACUUUGGGUUUCUAAUUCUCUUAAUAAUAAAUGUUGAGUUUGGAGUGUGGAAUUAAUUGGAGAUCCUAAUCUUGCUAGUGAUGAAUAGAAAUGAUUUCUUUUUUUCCAGGGGAAUUAGUGCUGUAUUCUCACGUCAUUGUGUGAAAAGUCCAGAUUUCUAAUUCCAAACAUAUCCCAUCAUGAGAAAUGCUAUUGGCUUUAAUGGAACAUGCUUGUUAGAGUGUUUAGGACAGUGACCAGUUACUAUUGCUCUGAGAGCCAUUUCACAGAUUUCACAGGAAUGCUCAGCAGUGUUCCCUCUAACAGAGAUUCCCAGAUGUUGUUGACUACAACUCCCAGAAUCCCAAGCUGCAACAACAUCUGGGAAUCCCUGUUAGAGGGAACACUGAUGCUCAGCACAGGGUGUAGCAAGGUUGGAGUGGGCCCUGGGACAAAAUGAGUGCACCUGUAUGAAACACAUGUUGGCAAACAUUGUGUCAUAGUCACACUUAUUUAGCACACUUAUAUUAAAGACAUGUGGACCUUUGUGGAGCAGUGGUAGUUCAGUGGUUGAGCACAUAUUCUGCAUACAGAAUGCCUGAGGUUCAACAUCUAGCCUCUCCACUGGGCUGGGCAUGGCCUCCUAUCGGAAACUCUGGAGAGCCAUUGCCAGUCAAAGCAGAUAAUGCUGACUUAAAUAAGGAGCAAUAGUCUAAGCGUGGUGUAGUGGUUAGAGUGCUGGACUAGGACCGGGGAGACCCGAGUUCAAAUCCCCAUUCAGCCAUGAAACUAGCUGGGUGACUCUGGGCCAGUCACUUCUCCACCUACUUCACAGGGUUGUUGUGAAAGAGAAACUCAAGUAUGUUGUACACCACUCUGGGCUCCUUGGAGGAAGAGCAGGAUAUAAAUGUAAUAAUAAUAAUAAUAAUAAUAAUAAUUUAUUCAUUAUAAAAUGUUAUACAUCACCCUUUUCAUGCUUCGUUCCAAGUGUAGUAUGUAAAUGUGUUCGCAGGCUCCAUCUUGUCCUAUGCACAUCCAUUACAUGCCUGAACAGAAUCCUCAGGGUUCUUCUAUAGGCAUGGAAAUUCUGUUCGGGUGUUCAAGCAAAUAUGUGUAGGUCGGGAGAGGAGAUACCCAUCCUCCUCACAUUCAGAUCUGGAUGCUGUAUUCGCAAUCUGGAUAUCUGUACCUGUAUAGUAUCCAUAAAAGAAGGCUUAUCAGCCCCCCCCCAACCCCACCACACCCACCCACCACACCCACGCACACUGACAUGCCCUGAAACCUCCCCUUCUCUGAUCACCAUGUUUACAGCAUUGGUCUGAAUAAACCAAAGCUGCACUGGAGGAGAGAUUUUCCUGUGACUGCAAAUGCCGGUGCCCAAGCAUAUGUCUCUUCAGGCAAACACUGUACUCAGUCACUAGCAGCUCACAUCAGUAGGGGGGCAAGGUGAAUAGGUGUGCUCUCAUGGAUCCUGGUUUACCACCAGUGUUCUAAGAGAGAUGCAGACCUGCUGCUGUCUUCUACUUCAAACCAGGUUGGUGCUGAUUGUGGAGGCAGGGCAUCUCCAUGCCCACUAUAACUUUUCUUAUACAUUUCCCAUCAUUUCCGAUGGGAGCAAAAUCAGAAUAGUGAUGCUGCUGCAUUGAGUAGGCAUGGAGGUGCCCUGCCUCUGCAAACAGUGCCUGCAUGCUUUUGGGUAGAAUGCAGUACUGUGUGUGCAUUCCACUUAGAAUGAUGGUGGGCUGUACGAUAUGUAAGGGCCUGUAAAGGUAAAGUGUGCCGUCAAGUCCAUUUCGACCCCUGGAGCCCACACAGCCCUGUGGUUUUCUUUUGGUAGAAUACAGGAGGGGUUUACCAUUGCCUCUUCCCACGCAGUGUAAUAUGAUGCCUUUCAGCAUCUUCCUAUAUCACUGAUGCCCAAUAUAGUACCAGUGGUGAUUCAAACUGGCAACCUUCUGCUUGUUAGUCAAUCAUUUCCCCACUUCUCCAGAUAAAUAUGGGAGGACCCCACCCACAGGUUAUCAGCAAUAUUAAUGCUGACAAUGCCAACCAUCUGGUUCGUGAAAGCCUGUGUGGAGCUCUUUAUCAGACUAUUGUCUUAUAAUGGCACAGAUUAUUUCUAUAGGUUUUUGAAGGAAAAAGAUAAUAAGGUCAUUCACAUGACUGUUUUUGGUGGGGCUGAAGUGCUCUGUGGUGGUGGUGGGGGUACAGCCUAUCUUUCCCACCCCCCACUAGCCCAUGUAGGGUUGGUUGUGAGAACCACCAGGUUUGGUCCCAGUCCCGGUACUCCUUAACCGGGUAACCCAGAUUUUGUACCUUGGCUAAAAGUGAGGGAGGAAGGCACAUGUGUGCCCUCCUCCCUCACUGCCUGGUCAUGUGGAAGCUCAGGCAUCUGGGUAGAGCUGGCCAUGAGAACAACCUCAGUGAAUUUUUGCUUGAAAUGUAGGUCAUAAAUGCCAUCAUCACAUAAAUGCCAUCAUCACCUUCAUGGCUAUAAGCCAAAAGCCAGCAUGAGCCCUUUUCAGGUAACUCUGAAUGCAACUCUGAAUGCAACUCUUUUCAGGUAACUCUGAAUGUAACUUUUCAGGUAACUCUGGAUGUCACUCUGAAUGCAACUCUGAAUGUAACUCUGAAUGCAACUCUGAAUGUAACUCUUUUCAGGUAACUCUGAAUGUAACUCUUUUCAGGUAACUCUGAAUGCAACUCUUUUCAGGUAACUCUGAAUGUAACUCUGAAUGCAACUCUGAAUGUAACUCUGAAUGCAACUCUGAAUGUAACUCUUUUCAGGUAACUCUGAAUGUAACUCUUUUCAGGUAACUCUGAAUGUAACUCUGAAUGCAACUCUUUUCAGGUAACUCUGAAUGUAACUCUGAAUGCAGCUCUUUUCAGGUAACUCUGAAUGUAACUGAAUGCAACUCUGAAUGUAACUCUGAAUGCAGCUCUUUUCAGGUAACUCUGAAUGUAACUCUGAAUGCAACUCUGAAUGUAACUCUGAAUGCAACUCUGAAUGUAACUCUUUUCAGGUAACUCUGAAUGUAACUCUUUUCAGGUAACUCUGAAUGUAACUCUGAAUGCAACUCUGAAUGUAACUCUGAAUGCAACUCUGAAUGUAACUCUUUUCAGGUAACUCUGAAUGUAACUCUGAAUGCAACUCUGAAUGUAACUCUGAAUGCAACUCUUUUCAGGUAACUCUGAAUGCAACUCUGAAUGUAACUCUGAAUGCAACUCUGAAUGUAACUCUGAAUGCAGCUCUUUUCAGGUAACUCUGAAUGUAACUCUGAAUGCAACUCUUUUCAGGUAACUCUGAAUGUAACUCUGAAUGCCCUUUUCAGGUAACUAAGGGCUGAAUGUGAUAUAAUUGAUUAACUUAUAAAACUAAUCUAGUCAUGCUGAAAGGUUUAAAACACACAAUAUGAUAAAAAGUUAAGAAGGAAUUUCCUCCCCAGCUGAAACCGUUACUUAAGUAGGAACAAAGUACAAUUAAGUUUACACAGGAAAUGAAAUGAGAAGAUACUGUUAUCAUGUAUUAAAGAGAUUACUUGCCUAUGUGAUCUGUAAUGUAUAAAAAUCUGUUGUAAAUGAUGAUCGGGGUUCUGGAAUUUGGGCACUAGCCAGCCAGAACCUUUGCUUCUGCAGAGCAAAUAAAGCCUU
RNA transcript from Hemicordylus capensis (graceful crag lizard), 7420 nucleotides. It is a transcript of the gene named mutS homolog 4, with no coding region annotated. The transcript is spliced from 21 exons. The record is from RefSeq and is a predicted model, not a curated record. NCBI's taxonomy places the organism in Eukaryota, Metazoa, Chordata, Lepidosauria, Squamata, Cordylidae.